UUAGUAGAACCCUAGACUUGAACAUUGUGUGUUUGGGGACUAGGAUUGUCUAACGGGUUCAUGUAGUUUUACAUAGUUUCUAUUUGGAACUAUUAUCCUACUGGGAACCUUCGGGUUCUCACCUAUUGUAGAAUUUGUUGAUUUUCAAAUACAAGGCGUAAUAUACCUCGUUGAGCGUGCAAAACUCCUUUUGGCAAAAGCAAAAACUUGUCUUUUGAAUUUUAUUUUGUACUUAAAUGUUUAUUCUCCAAUUUUGAACAUGUAUUUGUAUAUUCCUCUUAGAGGUUCUGUAUUACGAAAAAAUAAAAUUAUAUUUUAUAUAUUUUGAAUUGUAAUAUUGUCGCCAACCUUGUCUUUGCAGGUCAAGACUAAUGAUUAUGUAUCUUAUUUUGAAACAUAUAAAUAUAUUCUGCUUUGGUAUAUAACAUUCACUCGUGUUAAUGUUUUCCGUGUGUGAGUAUUGGUCAUUCGAUGUUUUAAUUUCUUCACUGGCUCGUAGUUAUGACAUUAGUCUUCUAUNNNNGUUGUAGUGGCAAACCACAUUUGAUUUACGAUUUAAGUGUAAAACUCUAUGUGGUAGAGUGUUACAAAAUCACUUUCGCGUUUAGAGUAAAAAAGUAUCCAAACAUAAAAAAAAGCGUUCAAUACACUUAAACGUAUUUUUUUUCUUUUCAACGCUAAACCAAAUACAACAUUAAUGUGACUCUACCUUCUCAAAGUCAAGCUGCAUUUUAUUGUCUUAACAAUCAUGAAAGCUUCGUAAAGUCCUUAUAUUUUAUACCAUUUAAAAAAUGUGUGCAUGUUUUAUUGUCUUAACAAUCAUGAAAGCUUCGUAAAGUUCUUAUAUUUUCUACCAUUUAAAAAAUGUGUGCAUAAACCUUCAUUUUCAGCCAAUGAUUUAUGGAGUUUAGGGAUCCUCUCAAUUUUUUCUCACUUGAAGAGGUAAAAUGUAAUCUCUCGCUACACAUUUUAUAGGUGAGACCAAAAGAAAAUGAGAAAAAACAUUAAAGAGUUAAAUAUUAUAUUUUAUACCUUCAAUUGAAAAAAGAAAAUUGAGAGGAUCCACUCAUAUAGACUUUUGUAACAUUGUGCCCGAAGAUUCUCUUGAUUUAUAAUCCCACUCACAACAGCAUAGCUCUAAUAUACAGAAUAUUCAGAGUUUUAUUUUGGAAUAUAUAAUAGAAGUUUGGAUGGACUUUACACUGAUCAACGUAUCAGGUAUGUCUUUAUGAUCAAAGAACACGUAUGGGAGCACUUACCGAUCAACUAUAAAGCAACUGUCGGUGUAGAGAAGACUAAAACCUCGUCCUUGUGAAAUACAUUCCGAGCAUUACCUGUAUGUGUUGGAAAACAUUUUGCUCUCCCAAAUAUUUAAAAAAAAAUGAGCUAGCUAUGAUGAUAGGAGCUGAAUCUAGUUGGGAAAUUAUAAGAGGGUAGCACAAGUCGCAUGUAAAUAAGAAAAAACAUGUCAUAAAAGCAAAAUAGAACGUGUAUUUAAACACUGCUUUGUGUGAUAAACAAACUCUUUACAUCCAUAAUUAAUCUACCAAAAGAAAAUGAAAAAUAACAAAAGGAAAGCAAGUGGUCCUAUAAUGUGAUGAAGGGACAUGAUGAAUGAUAUCAUAAUUAACAAAGACAAGACAAAGUAAAGCCACUAUUUAUCUAUUUAUAUUUUCAUUAACAACAAGUAUUAUUAACAAUACGAGAGGGAUAUCAUGAAAGCAUGGAAGAUAAGAGAUUCUCGUUACAGAAAGAUUAAGAUAAAGCGAUUAUUCUAUGGAAUUGCAACAAUCAUCUACCUUAACUGGCUUGAAUCUAAAUGAAUCAAUUGAAAUUUGGAAGUAGACAUGUUCAUCACCUAAAAUUACUCACCACGAUGGUAUGAGAAAGAUAAAGUUGAUGUACUUUUAAAAGCAUCAAAUGAACAUGCAAGAGAAAAAUAUUAGACCAAAAUGUUCAACCGUGUCCCAUUCUUUAAACAUGGACCCAUCAAAUUAGACACUUUACAAGCUGAUUACUGCACUAACAGCAACAGAUGUAGCUAAGAAUGGUAUAGAGAACGAAAUUGAAUAUGAGCAAAGCUUACAAUAAAGUAAAAUGAUGAGCUUUCCUAGAAGCAAUGACAAAGAAACUUAAUUUUCAGGUUGCCUAGAAUGUACUGCGUGAAUGUAAGAUAUAUAACUAUUCAUGAAACUCUACCUAAUAAUUUAAACUUUUGGAAUAAACUAUUCUAGAACAUGCUAUGAGAGCUUUUAUCAGCAAAAGAUCUAGGAUUCAAUUCUUGUUACCCCAAGAAAAUAUAAUUUAAGAAUAUGGCAAGAAUCAUUUAUUUUUUAUGGAUGACAGUAUUAUAUCCUCUAAAGCUACCAUGGAUAAUCGCCAAAUCAAUCCUCAUAUUCUACGUCUUUAUGAAAUGGUAUUGGGUCUGAAUUGAUUUUGGGAAAUCAAUUUUGCAUGUUUAGCAUGAUUUUGGGCAAUGAGAUCCGAACUCAAAACCUGAGGGCCUUCAACAAUUCACUGGGUUCCUAAUAAGCAAAGUAUCCAAUACCAACCAUGGGUAGAUCAGAGAGUCUGGUAGAUAAAAGAUAACUCUCGAAUCCAAGAAGGAUACGGCAUGGAACUAGGUGAAGGGUUUAAUCUGGAGACACAAGGCGUAUUCUCAAAGACUAAAUUAAAAAUUCUGAAAAGUCAAUGACUAAAUUGAGUUAUGCUCACAAUCUCAAGGAUGAAAUUGGAACUUUAAUUGAUUAAUUUUUUUAAUCAAAGCAUUCCUCAUUUCUCAAAGUAGGAGUUAAUCUUUGACCAAAAAGCAAUAGGAAGAGCUAAUCCAUCUUUCAGUUGGUAUAUCAUCUUGGAAGGUAGAUAAUUUGUAACAUACCCUGAACCUAGAGAAGAGCUGAGUAAGGAAGGAGGAGAAGCUUCUACAUCUAUAAAAAAGCAGAUUUCACCAUUGACUUUUUAUUAUAGAAGGAGAAAUAGAAUUCAGGCUAAAUGUGGAAAAGUGUCA
This is a non-coding RNA of Arachis ipaensis, 3007 nucleotides long. Lineage: Eukaryota; Viridiplantae; Streptophyta; Magnoliopsida; Fabales; Fabaceae. The record is from RefSeq and is a predicted model, not a curated record.